UAGAUUAAAGUCCGUUUGGUUUGGGCAGCUAGUUGUUAACUAGUCUUUUGUGGGAUCGAGGCCCGCUGAUCUAG
This 74-nucleotide transfer RNA is filed under the name Bothrops diporus. RNAcentral describes it as "tRNA-Asn". The record is from RNAcentral. RNAcentral also lists the same sequence under 1 other name. Lineage: Eukaryota; Metazoa; Chordata; Lepidosauria; Squamata; Viperidae.